Molecule: non-coding RNA, 235 nt
Organism: Pelobates cultripes (western spadefoot toad)
Lineage: Eukaryota; Metazoa; Chordata; Amphibia; Anura; Pelobatidae
Source: the annotation of a GenBank genome assembly
GGGGUGACAGAGUGAGAGAAGGGGUGACUAGUGGCAGAGUGAGGGAAGGAAGGGGUGACAGAGUGAGGAAGGGGGCGACACGUGACAGAGUGAAGGAGGUGGUGACUGUCAAUAGUCACCCCAUCCCUCCCUCUGUCACUAAUCACCACCUCCCUCACUCUGUCACUAGUCACCCCUUCCCUCCCUCACUCUGUCACUAGUCACCCCCUCCCUCUCUCUGUCACUAGUCACACCC